GGAUCCAGACUUUGUUAUGGCUCAGGAUGAACGCUAGCUACAGGCUUAACACAUGCAAGUCGAGGGGAAACGAUAUUGGAAGCUUGCUUCCGAUAGGCGUCGACCGGCGCACGGGUGAGUAGCGCGUAUCCAACCUGCCCACCACUUGGGGAUAACCUUGCGAAAGUAAGACUAAUACCCAAUGAUAUCUCUAGAAGACAUCUGAAAGAGAUUAAAGAUUUAUCGGUGAUGGAUGGGGAUGCGUCUGAUUAGCUUGUUGGCGGGGUAACGGCCCACCAAGGCGACGAUCAGUAGGGGUUCUGAGAGGAAGGUCCCCCACAUUGGAACUGAGACACGGUCCAAACUCCUACGGGAGGCAGCAGUGAGGAAUAUUGGUCAAUGGGCGAGAGCCUGAACCAGCCAAGUAGCGUGCAGGAUGACGGCCCUAUGGGUUGUAAACUGCUUUUAUAAGGGAAUAAAGUGAGUCUCGUGAGACUUUUUGCAUGUACCUUAUGAAUAAGGACCGGCUAAUUCCGUGCCAGCAGCCGCGGUAAUACGGAAGGUCCGGGCGUUAUCCGGAUUUAUUGGGUUUAAAGGGAGCGUAGGCCGGAGAAUAAGCGUGUUGUGAAAUGUAGAUGCUCAACAUCUGCACUGCAGCGCGAACUGGUUUCCUUGAGUACGCACAAAGUGGGCGGAAUUCGUGGUGUAGCGGUGAAAUGCUUAGAUAUCACGAAGAACUCCGAUUGCGAAGGCAGCUCACUGGAGCGCAACUGACGCUGAAGCUCGAAAGUGCGGGUAUCGAACAGGAUUAGAUACCCUGGUAGUCCGCACGGUAAACGAUGGAUGCCCGCUGUUGGUCUGAAUAGGUCAGCGGCCAAGCGAAAGCAUUAAGCA
RNAcentral lists this ribosomal RNA (873 nucleotides) under uncultured Bacteroidota bacterium. Its description in RNAcentral is "bacterial SSU rRNA". It matches the Rfam family "Bacterial small subunit ribosomal RNA", at positions 1 to 866 of the family's 1533-position model. The record is from RNAcentral. Lineage: Bacteria; Pseudomonadati; Bacteroidota.